ACGCUGGCGGCGUGCCUAAUACAUGCAAGUAGAACGCUGAAGGAGGAGCUUGCUUCUCCGGAUGAGUUGCGAACGGGUGAGUAACGCGUAGGUAACCUGCCUGGUAGCGUGGGAUAACUAUUGGAAACGAUAGCUAAUACCGCAUAAGAGUAGAUGUUGCAUGACAUUUGCUUAAAAGGUGCAAUUGCAUCACUACCAGAUGGACCUGCGUUGUAUUAGCUAGUUGGUGGGGUAACGGCUCACCAAGGCGACGAUACAUAGCCGACCUGAGAGGGUGAUCGGCCACACUGGGACUGAGACACGGCCCAGACUCCUACGGGAGGCAGCAGUAGGGAAUCUUCGGCAAUGGACGGAAGUCUGACCGAGCAACGCCGCGUGAGUGAAGAAGGUUUUCGGAUCGUAAAGCUCUGUUGUAAGAGAAGAACGAGUGUGAGAGUGGAAAGUUCACACUGUGACGGUAUCUUACCAGAAAGGGACGGCUAACUACGUGCCAGCAGCCGCGGUAAUACGUAGGUCCCGAGCGUUGUCCGGAUUUAUUGGGCGUAAAGCGAGCGCAGGCGGUUAGAUAAGUCUGAAGUUAAAGGCUGUGGCUUAACCAUAGUACGCUUUGGAAACUGUUUAACUUGAGUGCAAGAGGGGAGAGUGGAAUUCCAUGUGUAGCAGUGAAAUGCGUAGAUAUAUGGAGGAACACCGGUGGCGAAAGCGGCUCUCUGGCUUGUAACUGACGCUGAGGCUCGAAAGCGUGGGGAGUAAACAGGAUUAGAUACCCUGGUAGUCCACGCCGUAAACGAUGAGUGCUAGGUGUUAGACCCUUUCCGGGGUUUAGUGCCGCAGCUAACGCAUUAAGCACUCCGCCUGGGGAGUACGACCGCAAGGUUGAAACUCAAAGGAAUUGACGGGGGCCCGCAC
Molecule: ribosomal RNA, 909 nt
Filed under: uncultured bacterium
Lineage: Bacteria
Description: bacterial SSU rRNA
Rfam family: Bacterial small subunit ribosomal RNA
Source: RNAcentral